Molecule: non-coding RNA, 285 nt
Organism: Pelobates cultripes (western spadefoot toad)
Lineage: Eukaryota; Metazoa; Chordata; Amphibia; Anura; Pelobatidae
Source: the annotation of a GenBank genome assembly
CAGGGUGGCCACCCAAUAAUCAGCACAAGUUAGAAUGUGGGCAACUCGGCAGUCAUUGGUGACUCUAGAUAACCUCGGGCCGAUCGCACAUCCCCGUGAAGGGGAUGACGCAUUUGUAUGUCUGCCCUAUCAAUUUUCGAUGGUACUUUCUGCACCUACCAUGGUGACCACUGGUAACGGGGAAUCAGGGUUCGAUUCCGGAGAGUUAGCCUGAGAAACGGCUACCACAUCCAAGGAAGGCAGCAGGCGCGCAAGUUAUCCACUCCCGACGCGGGGAGGUAGUGA